AUGUUCGUGCCCGAGUCGUCCAUGAGCGUUGGCCUGGUUGCGGUCGCUCCCCGGGCUGGUUCUUUGCUGGUGACACGUGUUCCCAGCAUUGACUGCGGGGUGGAUGCUCGCCUUAACUCCUCCGCGUCGGUGAGGCACUCCAGCUCACAUCCUGAUGCGCCUUCAAGGCCGGCGUUGGGCGCGGGGCGCAAGGCGGACAAGACCGGCGCCUGGCAGCUCGUCAAAUCGUGGCGAGGCUCGCGCCGUCCGGCUUUGGAUGCCCACGAAUUCACGCCGCCCCCUCUCCCGCUGUGGCUUAAAGGCUGGUGCUGCCGCUGCCUUGCUCCUGGACAUAGAGCUUCGGUGUGCGGCGACCCAAUCCGCUGCUCCCGCUGCCUCCGGAACGGCCAUCGCGCCCGUGGAUGCAAGAAUAAGUGGCACCCUCUGAGCUCGCUGCCGUGCCUCGCUUUCAUCCCGCCACCGCCGCUGCCUCGCCCUGCCCCAGCUGCGUCUCAAGCCCCGGCGCCUAAGUUCGGCCCUGGUCGGGGUUGGCCUCUCCCCCAACCUUCGACGCCGCCGCUGCUGCUCGACACCACCAUGCUGCUGCGUCUGGGAGAUGUGGCCCUCAGGCCGGACGAAGACUUCGUGGCCGUCCCCGCCACGCUGGAGAUGCAGGCGGAAUCAGCUCUGCUCACCUCCAACGCCGCAGUCGCCUGGUUCGAGGGUGCUCAUGAAGAUGUUCCCUGCCGCACCGCCGCCGCCGCGUUUGCCUCCACCUUUGGGCUGCGGCAGGAGGACGUGAGCGUCGUCCGACACUACCCUGAGCAAUACCUGGUGAAGUUCAUGUACCAGCACAACUGUGUCGACGCUGUCGACCGCGGCGACUUCCUCGUCGGCAACUCCAGGCUCUUCGUCCGCGGGUGGCGGCUCGAGGCUCACGCUGACAACGAAGACAUGAUGUACCAUGUACGCCUCUGCAUCGAAGGGAUCCCGGUGCAUGGGUGGAACAACUACAUCGCCUCGUUUGUCAUCGGCCGUGGUUGCUCUCUCGACUACAUCGAGCAGUGGUCCGUGCGCAGGGAUGACACGCGCGACCUCUCUCUCUGGGCGUGGACAUCGAACCCCAACCUCACCCCCAAGGUGAAGUAG
Molecule: ribosomal RNA, 1128 nt
Filed under: Triticum aestivum (bread wheat)
Lineage: Eukaryota; Viridiplantae; Streptophyta; Magnoliopsida; Poales; Poaceae
Description: partial small subunit ribosomal RNA
Source: RNAcentral